Molecule: long non-coding RNA, 1627 nt
Filed under: Homo sapiens (human)
Lineage: Eukaryota; Metazoa; Chordata; Mammalia; Primates; Hominidae
Description: HSALNT0401165
Source: RNAcentral
AUUCUUCGGUUUGCCUCCUCCCAGUGGCGUGGAUUUGCUCCCGACCCGCUUUUGGGGCGUGCCUGCUUCCUCCUCUCUGUUAGGUGAGUGAGUAGGCGUCAUUCUUCACAGUAGUCCUCUGCCUCCACCGCCCCGGGAUCUCCUUGCGCUCGGUCCUCUACGUGGAGUCACCUAUGCAGAGGAAUUCCACGGGGCGGGGGCGAGGACAGGGUGCGGGGGUCUUUAUGGCAGACAAUCCCCGGCUGAGCGCUUGGCCAGAGUUUCUGUGAUGCUAGAAUCUGGACUGCCUGCGACCUCUCCGGGACUCGGACACCAGCCCUCGCCUCCUGGUGAUCUUUUAGGUCCUGCAGAGAAGUGAAGAGAUCUCGCUCUGUCACCCAGGCUGGAGUGAAAUGGCACAAUCUUGGCUCACUGUAACCUCCGCCCCCAGGUUCGACUGAUUCUCGUGCCUCAGCCUCCUCAGUAGCUGGGAUUACAGAUGAGCCCCAGAGAGGCGAAGCCACUUGAGCUCGUGAGUGACAGUCAGAUGUCAAGCCCUGCUCUUUCUAAAGCGUGCUGCCUUCAGAAAAGAAGAGCCAGAAGGAUGGAAAUUACUUCAGAAAGAUGAAUACCAGCUUUGAAGGAAUAAAAGCUGACGAGGAAUUGAAGGAGUUGAGGCACGAGCUUGAACAGGGUUGCAUGUUUGGCCCUUGAUUGUAAAUGCCCAUUGCUGCACCUGUUCCUGUUACUUGGGGAGUUGCAGCAGAAGGAACAGCGGCCUGGGACUCCAGAGAACUGGGUUCCCUCUCAUCCCUCCAGGGCCACCACUUCUUGUGGGCCCUUGGGCAAGUCACUGUACUUUCUGAGUCUCAGUUUCCCCAUUUGCAGAAUGGAAAUAACUACCCCGGUCUACCAACUUAGAAGAAUUGCUUUGAGGAUCUGAUAAGGUGGUGUGGAUGAUGCUGCCUUGGGGGCUUUACAGUCUGGAGCUCAAGGGACCCCUUAAGUUGGGCUUACUUAGUAACUCCAGGGGUGGGCAGAACAGGACUCCAAUGAGGGUUUUUUUCUUUUUCCCUUUUUUUUCUUUUCCUAUCUCUUAACUUUUAUCUUUAUUAUUUUACAAUGCCCUUGUAAGAUGAAACAAGUGAUGCUGAAAUAUCUUUUUCUUUUUUAACCUUUAUUUUAGAAUUGGGGUACAUGUGCAGGUUUGUUACAUAGGUACAGUGUGGGCUGCUGAGGUUUGGGAGUACGAAUGAAUUAGUCACCCCAGUGGUGAGCAUAGUGCCCGAUAAGUGGUUUUUUCAACCCUUACUCCCAUCCCUCUCCAUUCUUGUGUUCCCCAGUGUCUGCUGUUCCCAUUUUUAUGACCAUGUGUACUCAAUGUUUAGCUCCCACUUAGAAGUAAGAACAUGCCCAGCACUUUGGGAGGCCGAGGUGGGUGGAUCAUGAGGUCAAGAGAUCGAGACCAUCUUGGCUAACAAAGUGAAACCCUGUCUCUACUAAAAACAUAAAAAAUUGGCCGGGUGUGGUGGUGGGCACCUGUAGUCCUAGCUACUCGGGAGGCUGAGACAGGAGAAUCGCCUGAACCGGGGAGGUGGAGGUUGCAGUGAGCUGAGAUUGUACCACUGCACUCCAGCCUGGGUGACAG